CUUGAGCCUUUAAUAACUAUGUUUGCCAUGGAUUCUAUAUUGAAUUAUCUGGUUCAUUUUUUUGCCCAUGUAAUAUAGUUUCAUUGCCUGCAUUCAAGCAAUCUGGAUCUCAAGUGAUUGCAAGAGGGUUGAUCUAUUAGUGAUGUGCCUUUUGACAGUAGCCGCUACACUUAAAUGCUUGCACCCCUAGGUAUUAUGCUGAUAUGCUGUAACCAUUGUUCCUGCAGAGACGUGUUCUCAUACUUUUGCCCCCGCAUUGAUGGGAAUCUAAUCUUCUGCCAUUAAUUCCCUUUCCUGUUCUUCUGAUCUCCUGUUACACUUGUUAUAUAAAAUCUGGUUGGUUGCCAAAUGCAAAACAUCUCCUAAUUUUAAUGGUUAAGAAAGUUGAAAAAUCUUGCUUAGAAGUUAUAUAGUGCAUUCGUCCUGUCAAAUUUUCAGAAUAUAUUUCUAAGUGGUGUUCCCAUCAGUAAUAUCUCUUUUGAAGAUAUGUAAAUGUUUUUUUGGCUUACAUUGUUUUACCACUUACUAUUUUUUUGUUUUUAUUUUCAUGCACUUCUUUAUGAGGACUGCUGUGAUAUGAUGGCUACAGUUCUAAACUCUGCAUAUUUGUACAGAGGAUCACAAUUAAAGAAAUCAGGAACGAUCCAUGGUUUAUGAAGAAUUUGCCUAGGGAACUGACAGAGGCUGCUCAAGCCAUGUACUACAGGAGAGGAAAUAAUACCUUUUCCUUGCAAACUGAUGAAGAAAUCAUGAAGAUUGUGGAAGAGGCCAAAAUUCCUCCUCCAGUAUCUCGAUCUAUUGCUGCCUUUGGUUGGGGAGGAGAAGAAGAUGGUGAUGGGAAGGAAGAUGACACGGAGGCUGAAGAAGAAGAAGAGGAAGAUGAGUAUGAUAAGAGAGUUAAGGAGGCACAAGCAAGUGGAGAGUUUCAUGUCAGUUAAGGAUUAAUUUGCCCUUUAUCGGAUACCUGCAAUCUAAAGUUUUGGUUUUUGGAUAUCUAUAGGAUGCUACUGUGAUUGUUUAAAGCUUUGUUCUAAGGACAUGGUCUUGAAUAAAUGUUUGUAAAUUAUAGCGUAUUGGGCAGAAAGAGUGUGAUUCCAACUUAUGUGAGAAUUAGAUUGUCUGCUUAUUGAAAAUUUGGAAUUUUGAAGAUUUGAAAGAUAACUAUCAGAGUGUUCUGUUUUAUCUUUUUCCUUCUGAGGGUUAAGAUAGUGUCAUAAAUUAAGGGCAUUGUAUGGUCCAGGUUUUGAUUGAAGAAAAUCUUAUCAUCUGUAGUGUACAUUGUAUUGAGGGUCUGUCAGUUGAAGAACUUUAACAUGUAUUAGUGUAAUUUCUCUGUUUCGCUUCUUGUGCUGGGCUUUGAAUCAAUCACUUAUUUUACUUUAUAUAUUGAAGUAUCAUCUCACACAGCCAUU
Molecule: unclassified non-coding RNA, 1412 nt
Filed under: Hevea brasiliensis (rubber tree)
Lineage: Eukaryota; Viridiplantae; Streptophyta; Magnoliopsida; Malpighiales; Euphorbiaceae
Source: RNAcentral